This 497-nucleotide ribosomal RNA is filed under the name uncultured bacterium. RNAcentral's name for it is "partial 16S ribosomal RNA". It matches the Rfam family "Bacterial small subunit ribosomal RNA", at positions 28 to 507 of the family's 1533-position model. The record is from RNAcentral.
GACGAACGCUGGCGGCGUGCCUAAUACAUGCAAGUAGAACGCUGAAGAGAGGAGCUUGCUCUUCUUGGAUGAGUUGCGAACGGGUGAGUAACGCGUAGGUAACCCGCCUUGUAGCGGGGGAUAACUAUUGGAAACGAUAGCUAAUACCGCAUAACAAUGGAUGACACAUGUCAUUUAUUUGAAAGGGGCAAUUGCUCCACUACAAGAUGGACCUGCGUUGUAUUAGCUAGUAGGUGAGGUAAUGGCUCACCUAGGCGACGAUACAUAGCCGACCUGAGAGGGUGAUCGGCCACACUGGGACUGAGACACGGCCCAGACUCCUACGGGAGGCAGCAGUAGGGAAUCUUCGGCAAUGGGGGCAACCCUGACCGAGCAACGCCGCGUGAGUGAAGAAGGUUUUCGGAUCGUAAAGCUCUGUUGUAAGUCAAGAACGGGUGUGAGAGUGGAAAGUUCACACUGUGACGGUAGCUUACCAGAAAGGGACGGCUAACUACGUG